RNAcentral lists this ribosomal RNA (269 nucleotides) under uncultured prokaryote. RNAcentral's name for it is "partial 16S ribosomal RNA". It matches the Rfam family "Bacterial small subunit ribosomal RNA", at positions 524 to 792 of the family's 1533-position model. The record is from RNAcentral.
UACGUAAGGUGCGAGCGUUGUUCGGAAUUAUUGGGCGUAAAGGGCGUGUAGGCGGCACAUCAAGCCUGAUCUGAAAGGGUUCGGCUCAACCGAACGAUUGGGUGAGGAACUGAUGAGCUUGAGUUCACAGGGGGAAGCUGGAAUUCCUGGUGUAGGGGUGAAAUCUGUAGAUAUCAGGAAGAACACCGGUAGCGAAGGCGAGCUUCUACUGAUGGACUGACGCUGAGGCGCGAAAGCGUGGGGAGCGAACAGGAUUAGAUACCCGCGUA